This 226-nucleotide ribosomal RNA is filed under the name uncultured bacterium. Its description in RNAcentral is "partial 16S ribosomal RNA". It matches the Rfam family "Bacterial small subunit ribosomal RNA", at positions 524 to 748 of the family's 1533-position model. The record is from RNAcentral.
UACGUAGGGUGCAAGCGUUAAUCGGAAUUACUGGGCGUAAAGCGUGCGCAGGCGGUUUUGUAAGUCUGUCGUGAAAUCCCCGGGCUCAACCUGGGAAUUGCGAUGGAGACUGCAAGGCUAGAAUCUGGCAGAGGGGGGUAGAAUUCCACGUGUGAGCAGUGAAAUGCGUAGAGAUGUGGAGGAACACCGAUGGCGAAGGCAGCCCCCUGGGUUAACACUGACGCUC